This is a long non-coding RNA of Triticum aestivum (bread wheat), 695 nucleotides long. RefSeq lists it as uncharacterized. The transcript has 4 exons. The record is from RefSeq and is a predicted model, not a curated record. NCBI's taxonomy places the organism in Eukaryota, Viridiplantae, Streptophyta, Magnoliopsida, Poales, Poaceae.
AGAAUAAUACUUUGCAAGGGACAGCAGCGCGAUGUCAAGCAGCAGCAUCAGCAGCAGGUUCUGCAGCUUCACGACCCUGGUGAGUCCACGGUCGUGCUCAACUCCCGCCAGGAGGGCGCGAAGGAGUUUCCCCUUGAACCCCAUGACCUGAUUCUCAGAUCGGAUUGAAGGUGUAUCUGCAUUUUACUUGUGCAACAUGAAGAUUUCAGAAGUUGAAGCGAAUGGAAAGAUAGAAGACGGUUUGAAAAAUAGGGAGAACAUCCAACAACGGGAAAACAGAGCAGGUCAUGGUGGAUGAAGAGAACAUUAACCGACAGACUUUGGGUAAAAAAAAUGGCUGCCUUGAUUUGUUUAUUUCUUAUCAAUUAAAUUUCUAUGUGAUGACUUCUCAAAUUUCCUUGAAAUUUGUCGAUUAAAGGAAAACUUGAACAAUUUCAUGGGAAGUAAAGCAGGGACUACACGAGAAUUGGAACAGAGGCACUGAAAAGCAUAAGAGGGCUCCUGCAGUGACAGUACUAUUUUUGCAGGUGAAGCAACAACCAAGUUUCCAAGUUUAUGUCAGACUUCAAGAGAAGGGGGUUUAGUAUUUUCUUGAUGGCACAUGUUGGAAGGUGCCAUCUUUAUUUCUCUUAUCUUAUGGAUUUCCUCACAAUUAUUUUCUUACAAUGUGCACAAUUUCGCAACAAUAAACAUUG